Ixodes scapularis (black-legged tick) is the source of this 509-nucleotide long non-coding RNA. RefSeq lists it as uncharacterized. Lineage: Eukaryota; Metazoa; Arthropoda; Arachnida; Ixodida; Ixodidae. The record is from RefSeq and is a predicted model, not a curated record. The transcript is spliced from 5 exons.
UUUCGUUUGCGGCAGCGGGCAGUGGCGUUGACCUAUUGGUUAUCGGUCUAUUUCUUCUACCAGUACACGGAGCAAACGAAACCUUGUUUAUUGCUCGACUCAGUGGUGCUCUAAUUCCAGUGGCAACAGCUCUGUCAAGUUCUUUGGAUUCCCGAUCGAAUGACGAAAGGAAACCUGGCACACUCACCAGCCUGAAAUAAAUGGAUUCCGAUGAUAAUGAUAUUAAGGCCAUUUUCGAGUGCAGCUCGGCGACACGGGCAUUUUCCUGCAACGAGAGAAAACGGAGGCAGAGCUUGUCUGGUACCACAUCAGGAUCGCUCCCGAGGUCAAUGAACUGGAUUAUUUAGGUUGCACAGUGAGUGGGAGGAGGCAUUUUUAUGAGAACAUCACGAAGAAAACCUCACUGGAGAAAUGCUCACCGGAGAAGAGCUCGCCCACUUUUUUGCGGGUCUGGAGAAAAGCACACCAGUCUUUUGAAAUACCCCGAGGAAAGCUCAUCUUGAAUUAAA